CAGUUACCAAAUUUUUUGACAAAAUGUAAAACUCCCAGAUACAUAAUAUGACAAGUAGGCUCGAAAGAAAGAGGGCGUUUAUUUACGCCAGUUCCCCAAAUCCUAUUCACUUCCGUUAUUGAACCCUAGAUCUUCCCAGCUACUAUUAAACUCUCCUUCCUUUCUGCACAUGAAGACUCAGGGGGAUUAUUAAUUUUAAUACUCAUAACUCCUGAAGAUUUAAUGAUUGAGAGAGAAA
This is a long non-coding RNA of Daucus carota subsp. sativus, 238 nucleotides long. RefSeq lists it as uncharacterized. The record is from RefSeq and is a predicted model, not a curated record. NCBI's taxonomy places the organism in Eukaryota, Viridiplantae, Streptophyta, Magnoliopsida, Apiales, Apiaceae. The transcript is spliced from 2 exons.